RNAcentral lists this non-coding RNA (161 nucleotides) under marine eukaryotic metagenome. The record is from RNAcentral.
CACCGUGAGGUGGGGUCUGAAGGAAGCCGGAGUGUAAACUUGCGAGCUGACGAACAGAAACGUCAUAUAAGGCUGAGUCCAUAGGUAAAGCAGCACACAACAUGUCGACGCCCAAGGAACAAGGGGAUACGGUAAAUGGCGCGGCUACGCAAGGGAGGUUC